GGGCCCGUCGUCUAGCCUGGUUAGGACGUCGCUCUGACACGGCGAAGGUCGGGAGUUCAAAUCUCCCCGGGCCCACCA
Molecule: transfer RNA, 78 nt
Filed under: Nitrososphaerota archaeon
Lineage: Archaea; Thermoproteati; Nitrososphaerota
Description: Thaumarchaeota archaeon tRNA-Val
Rfam family: tRNA
About the family: Transfer RNA (tRNA) molecules are approximately 80 nucleotides in length.
Source: RNAcentral